Molecule: long non-coding RNA, 543 nt
Organism: Chinchilla lanigera (long-tailed chinchilla)
Lineage: Eukaryota; Metazoa; Chordata; Mammalia; Rodentia; Chinchillidae
Exons: 2
Source: RefSeq, a predicted model, not a curated record
UCACUGGAGAGCUAGUGCAUUAUAAUGGACAGAGAACAAACCUCUGCGUCAUUUGGAAUUUGGAAUGGAGAUACUGACAAAGGCAAGUUCUGAGAUAGCCACAGAGAGCUCCGAUGGAAAAGGCCGGUAACAGCAAAGCACAGCAAACACACCAGACCCACGGACUGAGGGAAGUGUUCAAGGUACCAUGAGAUCUCCGUGAAAGGGGAAACGAAUCCGAAGAUGGAAAUAAGUGCUCUACUCUAGGUCAUCUGCCCCAACACAGGCCUGGCACACUGCUGGGCACAAGGGACUGGAAGCAGAAAAUUUCUACUGGAACAUGAGAAGUUUAACUUCUCUAACUGACAUCAGCACGGCUGCUACAGCCUGAUGAAGAGAGAGCCCAGCACCUGGGACCACUCCAUCCUCCUGGGACCCAUGGGCCAGGUCUGCCCCUGUCACCUGAAGUCAGCCGCCAGCACCAUCUACUAUUCCAUCUUCCAAAUAAUCCUCUAACCUUGAAGUUCAUUUACCCUAGACUAAAGCUAGCUUACAUAUACCAGA